AGCGCAGGUUGCCAUGGAAACCGUCUCUUCCCAGACCCGCAGCCUGUGUGCCUCCCGAUGCUCCCUCCGCACCCCCACCCCGCAGGGGCCCCGGGACACAGCCUCACGGGGGCGGUGCACGCAGGGCCUCCUUGGGGUGCAGACCUGCCUCCUCGCCCCUGGCCGGUGGCCCCAGGGACAAGCCCCUGCCUGGUGCCCACCCGGCCGUCCCCCGUGGCUCCCCGUGGCCUGCAGGAGCAGCGAGUCCCUCUCCUCCUCCUGCUCAGGACAGCAGAGGGCUCGGGCUGCGGGAGGACAUGCAGGUGCCGAUCUCGGCGAUUCCCCUCCGGCCUGCGCAGCUCCGGCCAUAGCUGGCCCCUGGGAGGGAAAGACCAAGGAGGAGGAGGAGGGGGAGGCCAGCUGACUCCCCUGGCAAGACACCUGGGCUUCCAGGCCCCCGAGACAGGCUGGAGCUGGAUAAUUGGAUCUUCUUCUUCCGGGUCCCUUCCCCAAGGCCAGCAGGGGCAAAUCCCCCUUCCUCCCGACAGAUCCUCUCCGUGUUAGACGUCCAGCUCAGACGCCUCCUCCAGGAAGCCCUCCCAGGGGCGCUUGUGUUCUGGUCACCUUCCCUCUCCGCUGGGAGCCACCGAUGUGUCCGAAGCCUGCUUCUCCGUUCCCAGUGGCCAGGGCUGAAGGCCACAGGGUGCGCAGGAAACCAGGGCGUUGGAAUGCACGCUCAUCCAAAGCUCCCGCUGGGUGUCCAUCUUCCGGGGCUCUGUCCACGGGCCCAACGUUUGGCAAAGUUCAAUGACUUUAAAAUACACACAGCUUGAGUGAACGUCACCUUGCUGGGAGUUUCAUAGGUUAAGUUAAAACACCAGACCAACAGAGUCUGGAAGAACUUCAACAGUCCUUUCUUUUAGUUUCCCUGUUUCUACCCACGGCCUCUACAAUCUGUUCUCCCCGUGGGUCCUUAUAACACAUCGGCCCUGACAAGGUCAUUCUGUGGCACAUCCUUUCUUUUGGAGUAACCAUCAAAGAUGAUUGCCCGGCCUCCUCUCCUCCGUCCCCUCGGUCACUCAGCCCUGGCCCAUCCCAGCAUGGCCCUGCCUCAGGACCUUGGCACCUGCUCUUUCAACUUUGAUGCUCUUCCCCCAAUUAUCUGUAUGGCUUGUGUCCUCCUUCAUUCAGCUCUCGGUCCUCAAUGUCACCUCCUCACAGAAGACGUCUCUGGUCAUCCAUGGCUGGAGAUUCUCUUUAACCCUGCUUAGCUUUCUCUGCAGUAGCUGCCACCUCCUUACAGAUGGUAUUACCUUCCAGAUCCUGCAGGAUGUCAAGUCCUCUUCCCUGCAACCCCGGAAGGAAGCCCGCCAGGACUGCGGCCCCUCUCUCAGCUGCUGCCACCCACGAGCCUCAGGGCCUGUCAGCUCUCUCCUGUCUCUCUGCGUCCCUGGCCCCACGACUCCUUGGGGGCAGCAGCCGUGGCUGCAUCAUCCACGUCACUGAGUGUCUAGCGCCCCGCGCCUGGCCAGGGGUUCGAAUCCCGCACAACCUUGUGGAACACGUGAAUGAAGAGUGGACGAAGACACGAGGUUCUGCACCGUGGCUUCCAACCAAGGACAGGGAGACUUGCCAGUGUUCAGGGACACUUCUGUGGGCCACAGCUCAGGAUGGGGGAAGUGGUCCUGGGAGAAGAGGCCGGGCAGUAUCAGCUGUCCCACAAUGCACAGGUGUGUCCCCAUGGUCCAUCCGCCUCCACCCAGGAAUCCCUCAACCCCAGAGGGGUGGGGGGGGGAAGGGCAUGAGCCCCUCCCCCAGCAGGUGUGCCCGCUGGUGAGACGUACAGGGUAACGCCCGAGGAGACCCCAGGAGACAGGGCGGGGGUGCUCACUGGUGUCCCCACUGUCACCCAGGUGGACUCCUACUCAGCCUUCAAAACCCAUCCCAGCACCACCCCCUCCAGGUCGCCUUCCUGAUGUCCCCCAGGCUCAGCGGCCACUGCUCCACUGUCCUGUAAUUAUCUCUGAAUGGGACCGCCCCCGCUCCGAUCUGAGGACAGGGGCUGUGUCCUAUUUGUCACGAUUUCUUGAGUCCUUAGAAACAGGCCCCCUGUGGCCUUGCAGCCUGCAGCCCGGGCGCCCCCUCCUGGCUCCUGGGAGCACCGUGUCAGGGGCAGCUCCGCGAGACGCCGGCCCUGGGGACAGCCAACCCGUGUGACCUCCCACGGAGGAGGAGGACAGCCCGUUCCGACCAUCCGGACUUUGUCAUUGACUUGGCUGCCAAGCCCGAGAGCAAGGCGUCCUCUCAAUGAGCACGUCGACUCCGCGAGCUAUAAAUUAAAAAGGAAAAAAAAAAAA
Molecule: non-coding RNA, 2336 nt
Organism: Ictidomys tridecemlineatus (thirteen-lined ground squirrel)
Lineage: Eukaryota; Metazoa; Chordata; Mammalia; Rodentia; Sciuridae
Source: RefSeq, a predicted model, not a curated record